GGCCCCAUCGUCUAUCGGCUAGGACGGCUCCCUUUCAAGGAGCAAAGACGGGUUCGAUUCCCGUUGGGGCUA
This 72-nucleotide transfer RNA is filed under the name Gemmatimonadaceae bacterium. Its description in RNAcentral is "tRNA-Glu". It matches the Rfam family "tRNA". From Rfam's summary of the family: Transfer RNA (tRNA) molecules are approximately 80 nucleotides in length. Their secondary structure includes four short double-helical elements and three loops (D, anti-codon, and T loops). The record is from RNAcentral. Lineage: Bacteria; Pseudomonadati; Gemmatimonadota; Gemmatimonadia; Gemmatimonadales; Gemmatimonadaceae.